CGCAUCUCAUCCCCAGACACCCCAGUAGUAGAGAACCGUGCUCGAGGUUCAAUUUGGCCGGAAGUGACCAGCCAGUCUUGAGCUGCGCCGAACCCCAGAUACUUUACUCUGGAGUCGCCCCACCCCCGGGAUGGUCCUGAGCCGACUGAAGGCCCGCGCAGCUAGAGAAAAUGGGUGGUGAGGAAGACAGCAAGAAAGACGGGAAGGAAAUAGGAUCAGGAAUGGGAGGGGCUGGAAUCCCAGCAAGUCCCAAGUUCCGGUUCAGAGGAUCACCGGAGCUCCCAGGGCGGUGGGAAGAGGACAAGUGCAAAGGGAAGGAAAGGAACACUUGUUUUUUUUCUGGCGGGAACUUCACCUCCGGGCAGGAAGCUAGUCAUCCAGGCAGAGCAGGCGCACCUCCCUGUGGCUAAGCUGCAAAUGGACGUGAUCUCGUUCCCCGACUCGCGAGCCCGGAGAGCGGCAGGGAGAACGUGAGUCGCGGCGACUCCUCGCGGGUCUCGAAGCCGCGCUCCGACCCCUGGGACGAGAAGACGAACCCGGCAGGAGGAGCGUCCCGGGAACGCAGGGCGAAGGAAGGCGAUGUGCACACGCCUCGGAGAGUCAGGGCGCCCUUCGCCUGGCGGUUCCAUGGUGUAAUGGUGAGCACUCUGGACUCUGAAUCCAGCGAUCCGAGUUCAAGUCUCGGUGGGACCUUCCCCUUUGGGCCAAGCCACAGCUACCUUUUACUCUCUUCUCCAAUACCGAGCGACUGACACCUGCCUUCCCGCUCCCGCUGCCCCCGCUCCGGGGAGGGAAACUCCGGGGGCCUCGCGCGCAGGUCCGGCUUGGGCGCCUCGCAGCCGCGUGCUCCGCGCUCCGCCGCCUCCUCCUCAGGAAUCGGGGACCCAGAAGCCCGCGUCUCAGAGUGCCCCCCACACACACACACUCCCCACGGACACAGCCGGGCCACCGGGCCAGUGCCGCCCCUCGUCGGGGUGCCCCUCGGGCCUCGGGAUAAAAGGCGGCGGCGGCGGCCACUAAAUCCUGCACCGCGAGGGGCGUCCCGCCGCGCGUCCUGAAAUUGCACCCAUUAGCCUGCACGCGUAGAAAACGACAGCAGUAAGAAACAGCGCUCCUUACCUCGGUCGUGCGGUGGCGAGACUGAAGUUUCGGGUCCCGGGUUCAAGCACAAGGUUGGGUGCUUUUCAUUUAAUUUUUCUCGGAUCCUUUCCCACCAGCUAUCAGAAAUCCCGAGUCUCUGUUCAGGCGAGUAGGGGUCGCGGUUGUCCUAAACUUUGUACUUCAGUGUGGGGCGUCUCCUCCGUAAACCCUAAACCCGGGGAAAGAGAGAUUCUGGCCGGGGAUUCUCUGUGCCUGACCUGCGGCCGACCUCGGGCCUCCUCCGGGGGCGAAGGUGACAGGAGCAAGGGCAGCUCCGAGUCCUGACCUGCGGGGCUCCCCCUCUUUCCUGGGGCGGCUCUGCUCCACGGAGAAGACGCCUUAGGAGGGGACAUGAUGGAAACACGCCGGUUCUCUUCUGCUGGGUAGAAAAAUCCGGUCCCAAGUUCUGAAGGAUCUCAUAGCUAGUGAAAAUGUUCGCCGCCAAAUCUCUCUUAGUUUUGAAACUUCCACCAGUUCACAAAGGACUGUAAAAUACAACUUUUUCAAAGGCUCGCUUUGAGGUUCUGAAAAGCAAGGGGGUGAGGGCCGGAAGGCGGGAGGGGAGAAACGGGAAAGCGGAGACCGGAGGAGAAAGGAGAUAGGAAGGAGAAGGGGAGGGAUCCGAGGGCGGGGAGCCUGGCGUUCGCAGCGCUGGUUCAGUUGCGCUUCUGGCUCAGUCUGCAGAGCUCCCGCAUUUGGGUUGAAUCUCCUUGAUCCCCUGAGAACUUCGGCUCUGCCUGGAAAGUGGAACGUAAGUUCCUGGCGUUUGUCCUUGCUCUUUUCAUUAAUUGUGGAAGUCGGAGUAGGAGGGUAAAUAGACCUGAAAGUUAUUGGGAGCCAGAUUAAGACCUUGUUGAAUUCCUUGGCCUUACCUGGCAAGUAGACUUUCUCUCUCUCGCCUUGCAAGACGGCUGCGGGCAGGACAGGCUUUGCGAGGGUCGAAGCACCCAAGACCAUGAAGAUGUCAGGGACUAGUUGUUCGCUGGACUUGUGGUGGCUGAGCAGACUAUGUCCUUCCAGAGCGUGGAGUUGGGGGUCUGGCCAGGAGACUGAGCAAGGGGGCCAGUCAGGGUUAAUCAAGAGGCUUUCCCCGAAGCAUCGCAGACAUUCCUUUUUGACCUCCGCUUUCUUUACUGGAGCGAUUCUUUUAAUGGAACUGCAUUUAUGCAUAGAUUUUAAUACCCUUUUCUGGCUAACUAUAACCGCACUCCGUACCAAGACCUGAGCUCCAGACUUUGCUUCGAGGAGAAGAUGCCCUUCCUUUAUAUUCUUUAGUUCAAGCCCAGUGUCUGUCUGGUGACCAGGACAGCCCCUCACAGCUGCCCUCAGGUUAGGAAGAGCUGAUGCUCCACCACUCCCAGCCCCUCUGCAGCCCCACGUAUAUGUAUGGCUUCAACCCAUACAAGCAUAUCCUAGGCCUACAUCUUUCAAAACUUCUUUCCCCGUUGCAGAGUGAUACAGUUUGCUUCUUGUCCUUCUUGUUGACUACCCAGCACUCCAGCAUUUUUCUUCUUUUGUUUUUGGAAUUAUUGCUCCUUUUUUUGGAUAAUGUCUUCCUUGUACUGUUCAUGAAGGUGCUCUGCCCUCAUUUGCUCAAGGAGAGGGCAUUGACUCAAGCAACCAAUCCAGUACCUCCCUGGAAUAUGAAACUGGGGGGGGGGUGACCAAAGAGUAAAUAAACCUUAGGUUUAUCCACUUGAAAAAAAGAGUCCCUGAAAACACUGGUCAUUUGUUCCUGCUAUUUGUAUCCUAUGUGGCCCAACUGUGAAUAUGGAGCUUACAUAGUUAAAAUAAUUGACCCAUCAAAUUAUGAUACAAAUAUACCAGAGGAUAAAGCAAGAGGAGGCGUGUUUGGGUGUGGGGGUGAUAAUAGAGGAGUAUGUGAGAGAUAAUGUUUACAGUUUGAAAGUCAAGGAGUAGUAAAGGGGGGUUGCUGUUUUCCUAAAUAAACUUACAAGUAUGUAUAACUUUGAUAAAAAUUUGUCCCAAAUGUAAACAAUUCCUUUGCCAUAUAUGUACAUAUGUGUGAAUUUAAAGUUUAUUAUUUGUAUCUUGAAUAUACAUUUUUAUGUAGUCAUAUUAUUGGCUCUUUUCAUGGAAGAAUUCUGGGUUUGGAGUCUUGCACAGAGCAUUUUCCCACUGCAGGUCUAUAAAAAUAUUAGCAAAAAUAGGUUCAAACAAAACAAUAGGUAAGUACUAUCCAAUUUUGGCAAAACAUUGGAAAAAAGAAUAUUUUCAUAAAAUGCGGGGAAUAUGACCUGCUACAUUUUCUUUUCAGGGUAGUUAGGCAGGCAUUAACAAAAUUUGAUUUGACAAUUCCAUUUUUAGGACUCUGGAGAAAAGGAGAGGAGUGAUGACAGAUAUUUGUAUAAGGGUGUUCCCUGCAGUAGUAUGUGUGAUAAUAAAUAUUGGAGCCAAUUGCAUCACCAUCAAUUAGAGACUGUUUGAAUAAUGACUCAUUUAUAUCAAGAAGGAUCUUAACUAAAAAGAACAAAGCAGAAGCCUGAGGGCAUGGGAGACAUUGAGGCCAAGAGUCCUUUGGUUACCUAAAUUUGGGCGACGACUUGGAGCCCGAAUGAGUGGAGAACUCCCAGGAUCAAACAUCAGGUGCCCGGGUGACAACCGCAGCCUCUCGGUUUGAAGUCAUCUAUUUUCCGAUUCUUUGCUCCACUUCAUCUGUCCUGCUCCCCUCGAGUCUCCUCAGAUCGCGGGGGGGGGGGGGGGGGGGGGGGGGCACGGGCGCGCGCGUGAAGUACUAGAAUCAGCCGUUCCUCCACCGCGCUACCUCCUGGAUGCCUCUAGAUGGUAACUCAAUGGGGGCAGGGACGUUGGGUUUGCUCACGAUGCACCCCCCUCGUUUACAAUAUUGUCUGGGACUUAGUAGGCUCUCAAUAAAUGCUCCGUGAAGGAGUCCAUUCCGCCGCAGAGGCCUGGAGGGGACAGGAAAGGCACCAAGAAUUUCACCUUGGUUCUGGAGAAUCCCCUGAAUGGGGAUUUUAGUUCUGGAGAAUCCCCUGAAUGGGAAGACGUGGAAGCCGGCCAUUCUUUAUACUGGAAGCUGGUUUAGAACGAGGUCAAGGUCCUGGUCGUGGAAACGUCUAGAGGACACCACCUAGAACGUCACUGAGCUCCCCGACCCAGGACGGUGCGGCGGCCUCAGCCUAGGGGACGCGGGUGGGCACAGGGAGAAAGGUGAUGAAGAGAGCUGAAGAAGAGAAGGAAGUGGGUGGGAGUGAGGGCAGUCUGGAGUAAGAGAAAGAAAGGGCAAAGGGAAGAGGAGUGAAAAGAAAGCUGAGAGACACCAACACUAGCCAGUAAAAGAAAAACCAGUUAAAAAACGUUGAGGCUUUUUAGAUCAGUUAAUAGGUCUCAACCACAGCGCCGCAGGUUGUCGUUGGCGUGCGGUGAUGGUACAGUGGUUAGUACUCCGCGUUGCGACCCUAGUAACCUUGCUUUAAUACGAGUUAUGAAGUCAUCUAACUCGCUAUUUUCCUCUUUACACAACCCCCCACCCCAGUAAAGCUGGCGAUAUGGUGCGAUUUCCCACUAUGAAACUGGAGACUGUGAACAGUUGUACCAGGCUCUCCAGGUCCCACGUGGCGGAACUUCGAGCCUCAGCCUACGACAGGGAGCAGAGACCUGCCUGACUUGGGGAAAGGCCGAAAGUCGCCCAAAGGCUAGGUCUGCAGCGACCGCAGUCCCCACCCUUAUCCCCGCCCCUAGAGGCGAGGCAAAGACAGCAAAAGCGCCAGACCUGCUUUGAGGAAGGUCUCUAUUUCUCUGCCAUUCCAGACCAACAAAAUGAAAAUCUGCUUAUAUCUACAACUUUAAAACUACAAAGACUCUGUGAAUAGGAGGAAAAGAUCAUGGUCUUCUUUUCCUAUGGUGUCUUCUUGAAGUAGAUCCAGGGUUUACGGAGGAGACGCCCCACACUGAAGUACAAAGUUUAGGACAACCGCGACCCCUACUCGCCUGAACAGAGACUCGGGAUUUCUUCUGAUAGCUGGUGGGAAAGGAUCCGAGAAAAAUUAAAUGAAAAGCACCCAACCUUGUGCUUGAACCCGGGACCCGAAACUUCAGUCUCGCCACCGCACGACCGAGGUAAGGAGCGCUGUUUCUUACUGCUGUCGUUUUCUACGCGUGCAGGCUAAUGGGUGCAAUUUCAGGACGCGCGGCGGGACGCCCCUCGCGGUGCAGGAUUUAGUGGCCGCCGCCGCCGCCGCCGCCUUUUAUCCCGAGGCCCGAGGGGCACCCCGACGAGGGGCGGCACUGGCCCGGUGGCCCGGCUGUGUCCGUGGGGAGUGUGUGUGUGUGUGGGGGGGGCACUCUGAGACGCGGGCUUCUGGGUCCCCGAUUCCUGAGGAGGAGGCGGCGGAGCGCGGAGCACGCGGCUGCGAGGCGCCCAAGCCGGACCUGCGCGCGAGGCCCCCGGAGUUUCCCUCCCCGGAGCGGGGGCAGCGGGAGCGGGAAGGCAGGUGUCAGUCGCUCGGUAUUGGAGAAGAGAGUAAAAGGUAGCUGUGGCUUGGCCCAAAGGGGAAGGUCCCACCGAGACUUGAACUCGGAUCGCUGGAUUCAGAGUCCAGAGUGCUCACCAUUACACCAUGGAACCGCUAGGCGCAGGGUGCUCUGACUCUCCGAGGUGUGUGCAUUUCGCCUUCCUUCGCCCUGCGUUCCCGGGACGCUCCUCCUGCCGGGUUCGUCUUCUCGUCCCAGGGGUCGGAGCGCGGCUCCAAGACCCGGGAGGAGUCGCCGCGACUCACGUUCUCCCUGCCGCUCUCCGGGCUCGCGAGUCGGGGAACGAGAUCACGUCCAUUUGCAGCUUAGCCACAGGGAGGUGCACCUGCUCUGCCUGGAUGACUAGCUUCCUGCCCUGAGGUGAAGUUCCCGCCAGAAAAAAAAAAACAAGUGUUCCUUUCCUUCCCUUUGCACUUGUCCUCUUCCCACCGCCCUGGGAGCUCCGGUGAUCCUCUGAACCGGACUUGGGACUUGCUGGGAUUCCAGCCCCUCCCAUUCCUGAUCCUAUUUCCUUCCCGUCUUUCUUGCUGUCUUCCUCACCACCCAUUUUCUCUAGCUCCCUCAAUCUCCUCCUUUCCUUCCUUCUUGGCUACUGCUCCUUUUCCUUCUCUUCCCUUCAACCGCCACUCUCCAGGCCAGCGUAGUAUUGGGCUACCCAGCCUGAGAGGACGAUGAGGAAGACCUUUCUCUCUGGUCAGGGCCCUUUCGGGGUCCAUGUUGGGGAGGCGGAGUGAGGUGGCCCCAGAGGAAUGACUGAGGGUCCACAGCCAGUCCCCAAGAUCUGGGCAGGACGGGCUGCUCCAAGGCGACUGGGUGGCUGGGGCGACCCAAAACGGCAACAUCGUGUUCCGCAAGCUAAAUCCGACAGGCAAAGUCCAGGGAAAUUGAAACCUAAGGGCUACCUAGUCCUUUGGAAGCCGUUGUAAGUGGAAGGACCACGGCGCCUCCCGUGGUCCCCGCAGACACGGCGUCCUGGGGUCCGCAUCACCUAGGAUGCUACAACGUCUUGUCCGAAGAAAACCAAUCCAACUUCCCAGUUAGACGAAGGUCCGCUCGAACCCAGACGCUUACCAAGAAAUCCCCCCCCCCCCCCCCCGUCCUCCUGGAGGUGUCGGGAGCCCUAGAGCCGCGCCCUCUGGGCCUCCGUCCUGGGGGCGCUGCCGAGUCCCUGUAUGAGGACUUUGGGCUGAGUCUCAGCGCUUCGCCACACUUAACUGUCCUUUUAAGGUGCGCCCAGCGCAGCCUCGCCCCAAGGAGAGCUCCUGGGUCCAAAGAGUAAAAUCAGACGGCAUUGCCCGCUUCAAUCCAGGACAGAGAGUCCUCUCCCUAUUAUGAAUGGGAUUCGAACGGGAGCUGCCACGGCCCCUGUACCCCACGCCAUGAGCAAGGCUGGACACCCAAGACCUGAGGUGGUGUGGUCAGGUGUAAGUAGGUGACAGCAUUUUCUCCUGGGCUUUUUCCUUGGUGGCUAUAUCUGCAUCUCUCUAUCUCUCUCUUGUUUUUUCUCUCUUCUCACUGGUUGUCCCACCCUCACCUUUCUCUUCACCCUUUCCCCCGCUGGCGUCCCCACAGGCUGAGGGUGCCGCAAGGCCCUGGGUGGAGAGCUCAGUGCAAUUCCAGGUGGUGCCCUCUAGACGUUUCCACGAUCGGGACAUUAACAUGAUUCAGCUGCCAGUUUUAAAAAACAACCAGUUUUGAAAGUCUUUCACAUUCUCCCAUUCCGGGGUUCUUCUAGAACUAAAACCUAAGAGUCCACGGUGACAUUUUUGGUCCCUCCCAGCACCCUGCUGCGGAACGCAUCUUCACUGAGCAUCUAUUUGGUGCCUAUUGGUGCUCAGCCCUGCUGUGCACAGGGGCUGCAUGGUGAGUAGACCCCAGGUCCCACCUGAUGGAGCCCUCCUCUGAAGGCACCGAGAGCAGGCAGCAAGUUGGGGGGCACAGCAGUUUCGUGUCUUUCCCAGAGCACCUGUCCUGGCUGAGGAACUCGAGGUGAGCGCGACAGGUGACACUAGGGAAGAAUGGCAAAUGGAUGACUUCGGCCCAUGAGCCUGUGAUCGUCACCUAGAGCAGGGAGGCUUUGGGGAGAGGCCCCUGGGCCCGGCAUGAGGCCUCGAGUGCUCACUCGCUAGUAUCAGUGCCCCAAAACUCUGCCCAAUAUCAAGACUCAAUGUCUCCAUUGCCAGUGCCAGAGGGUUUUAAGUGUGUUUUAAGCAGAGGAUGGAGGGGUUGGGGAGCAAGUUCUCACCCAUAGCAACACUGAGAUUUUGUAAUAACCUGGUCUCGGUGGUAUAAUCAGCA
This is a long non-coding RNA of Ailuropoda melanoleuca (giant panda), 7953 nucleotides long. RefSeq lists it as uncharacterized. The record is from RefSeq and is a predicted model, not a curated record. The transcript has 4 exons. Lineage: Eukaryota; Metazoa; Chordata; Mammalia; Carnivora; Ursidae.